CCAACAACAACAACAACAAACCAAAAACAACUCAAUCAACCUUGGCCAACAGAGAGAGCAAGCAAUUUUGUGGGAGGCAAAUGUCCCUGUGCACAAACAAGAUGUUUAAGAAAAAACAACUCUUCAUACUUGUCAGAAGAGAGAUUUGAUACCCGUGAUUGAAAAGAGAGAAGCCCCAAUGCAAGGAUGCCUCAGAGCUCUGCUACUGAGGGUGGUCCCCACCCCCACCCAGAAGAUUCAGCAUCACCUGAUGUGUGUUAAAAAUGCAGACCCUCAGCCUGCCCUAGAUCUUGGGAAUCAGAACCUGAAUGUUAACAAGAUCUGCAGAUCUAAGAAGCAUUGACUGAGCAGAUUCUCAAGCCAAAUGUGACUUCCUAGCUCACUUUUAAUUUCAUUAUUUCACAUUUUUUAAUCUAAAAGCAAGAAAAAUUUAAUUACAAGAGGAAACAAGGUUAUCAGAGGGAAAAACAUCUUUGGGCUCUCCUAUUGUACUGUCUGUGAUCAAUGACUUUAAAUCAGAAGGCAGUUGAUUGUUUUGGGGUCUCAUUUGCCUUGUGCCUACUUUUCUCAUCAAAGAGAUCACAGCACUCUGUAUUAUCUGGUCUUACAUCUUCACUGAAAGCUUCCUGUGGGCAGGGCCAUGUCUUAGAUAUCUAAAUACUCAGUGCCUAACCUAAUGCCUAACACAAGAAGGUGCUCCAAAACAUUGGAAUGGCAACACAUAAGCAAAUAGAUAACCAAUCACUUACCUGGGUUACAUCCACCCUUCAAGUUCAAGCUUACAACUCCUCUCCUUCAUAAAGAUUUCUUCAGUUAUUUCAUCCACCAUGCUGUCCACCUGCUGUAAGUAAAUAUCACUUAUUUGAGAUUUAACACACACACACACACACACACACACACACACACACACACAUACAUACAAAUGACUUUAGUUGUCAAUUAUCUUUAUUUUGUAUCUCUCUUAUUACCCCAUCCAAGCUGUAAAAAGGUAUCUCUUUUGAUAUAUUUUAUAUUGCCUUGCAGAGUAGGCAUUCGAAUAUUUGUUAUGCUUGAACUACCUUAAAAUAAAAAUAGACAUUAACAUGAGAAAAUCUACAAGCUUUGAUUUUCCUUCAAGCAUAAUUCUCAAUUGCCAAAAUUAAUUCUAGAGAUGACAAUAUUUAAACAGCUCCUCCAGCUGUGACCUAUUUAUCUUAACUAAAGCAUCUGUUUUGAUAUAUGAAAUACUUUCUAAUUUUUAAAUGGUUGGUUACAUCUUUAGCCAACUCAAUUCUUAUUUCUGUUAUGACAGUAGUUUAUGCUUCUCUAUGCUUCUCUAUGUUGACCAUAGUUAAAUUGGUUAAUAAAAGUUUAUAACUAGAGAUCAUUUUAAGGAUAUAUGUAAUAAUUUAUAAAGUUUGCAUGAUGUCCCUGAUAGCACCACACAGACCAAUAUUUCCAUUUUGAAACUAACUGUAGAGAUAUUGCUCAAUAGUGCACCCGUGGCAUGGAAGGUUUUAAUGCCUGGAAUUAUAACUACAUUUGUGAAUAUCAACACAGCUGCUCCAGGGUACACCUUAGUCUAUUACACAAAUCAUCCCUAAGUGUCCUAUAGAUGGCAGCAUUGAGCAAUAUAUUUGGUACUAUGUGGCAUUUUGGUUUCUGUAAAUUUUCAGUUAGGAGUAAAUUUUUCAAAUAGUGUAUAUCAUUAUAGUAUACCACAAGACUAAUUUAGUGUAAGGUGACAGGAUGAUACUUGUAGUUGUUUAAAUUACUUCACUUAGAUUCCACAAAAACAUCUCUUUCUAUUUGUAUAUAAAAUGCAGCAAUGUUUAUUUCCAGAA
Long non-coding RNA from Myotis myotis, 1823 nucleotides. RefSeq lists it as uncharacterized. The record is from RefSeq and is a predicted model, not a curated record. The transcript is spliced from 3 exons. NCBI's taxonomy places the organism in Eukaryota, Metazoa, Chordata, Mammalia, Chiroptera, Vespertilionidae.